RNAcentral lists this ribosomal RNA (430 nucleotides) under uncultured bacterium. RNAcentral's name for it is "bacterial SSU rRNA". It matches the Rfam family "Bacterial small subunit ribosomal RNA", at positions 355 to 776 of the family's 1533-position model. The record is from RNAcentral.
UGGGGAAUUUUGCGCAAUGGGCGAAAGCCUGACGCAGCAACGCCGCGUGACCGAUGAAGCUUCUCGGAGUGUAAAGGUCUGUCGUGAGGGAAGAAAAAUCCGGAUGUAAAUAAUGUUCGGACGUGACGGUACCUCACAAGAAAGCACCGGCUAACUUAGUGCCAGCAGCCGCGGUAAUACUAGGGGUGCUAGCGUUGUCCGGAAUCACUGGGCGUAAAGGGUCCGUAGGCGUUUUGCUAAGUUGAUUGUUAAAUCCAUCGGCUCAACCGAUGAUCUGCAAUCAAAACUGGCAGAAUAGAGUUCGAGAGAGGAAAGUGGAAUUCCUGGUGUAGCGGUGACAUGCGUAGAUAUCAGGAGGAACACCAAUGGCGAAGGCAGCUUUCUGGCUCGAUACUGACGCUGAGGGACGAAAGCGUGGGGAGCGAACAGG